Molecule: long non-coding RNA, 28850 nt
Filed under: Capsicum annuum
Lineage: Eukaryota; Viridiplantae; Streptophyta; Magnoliopsida; Solanales; Solanaceae
Description: long non-coding RNA (CANN_LNC019452)
Source: RNAcentral
UAUUUUUUUAUGUGUGUAAUACACUUGCUGCCACAUUAACUUUCACAUCAUUUUAAAUGCUACAUUAAAUUUCACAUCAUUUUUAAAAUACCAUAAAAUUAAAUUUAAAACAAUAAAAAAUUUAUAUUUAGAAUUAAAAAAUGAAGAAGUAAAAUUGGCAGCUUCUUCCUUUGCUUCUUCUUCUUCAUAUGAACAACACUCGUUCCACCCGAACCCAGGCCUUCCUUUAACUUUUCGCCCUCGGAAAUUGAAACAGGAAUUGUUACCUCCUGGUCAUCGCGAUCCAACUUCUCUAAUUCAUUAUCAUCGUGAUCAUUUCCACCGUGAUUCUUAAAGAACUCUUCUUGAGAAGCCCAAAGAGUCUCAUAAGCAACACAAAGACACUUCUUUUUCCCCGCACCAUCCUUAUUACAAUUACAAACCAUGGAUGCAUUCACAUCAUCUCCAUGCGACUUCUUCUUCUUCUUCGCAAUCACAAACUUCCACUGACGUAUCUUGUUUUUGGACGAAGGUGAAGCCAAUUGAUUCGUAUUAGCGUUGCUUGAAACUGACUUUUGCGUCUUUUUCGCCGAUUUCGUUAGUGAUUUACAAGAUUUUGAUAAAAAUGGACUUUUUUUGACAUUGGGAUUCAAGUUUUCGGAAUUCUUGGAGCAUUUCUUCGGCGUAAGUCUUGUGGAUUUGCAGUUCCAAUCCAUCAAAGUAGCCGGAGGUAGUAUAAUUGUCGCCGGAAAGUUGAUCGGAAUUAGGUGUAUUGGUGAUUGGUUAGGGUUUUCUAGUUAUUGAGGGAUUUUGAAAAAGAUUGUUUUUGUGUGUGUUGGUUGAAGACUAAAGUGUAGAGAAUUAGAGAAGGGGACGUCGUCAUUGUCGACGGCGGGUGUGGAGGUGUAGUGAUGGCCAUGGCGGGGGCACUGCUGGUGGACGGACUCUAAUGAUGCCAUGGCAGCCUUGGGGGGUUCUUUUUAUUUUUUUAAAAAAUUAUUUUAAUAUAAAAUUAAUCAAAAAAUGACUCACACUCGCACCCAUGCGCUAGUAAUCAGGCACUUUAUCCUACUCAAUCGAUUUGUGCUACAUAAGCUCAGUUAACGGUCAGAGGGGUUCAAAAUAUUCUGUUUUGAUGUGUUGAGGAGUUCAGAUGACAAAUCGUAUCCAUAUUAUAAAACGGACAUAAUAUAAGGAUCCAUUGAGCCAUUUUGACCGACAAACAGAUUUGAAUUUUUAUGAAUCAAGUUUACAUUUAAGAAAAUUUGAGAUCAUAUGUCAUAUUUUGAUGAAUUUGAAAUUUGAAAUCAUUGUUUUAAAUUAUGAUGUAAAUUACAUCUUAUUGAGAAUAUAAUCCUAAAUAGGAAGGUACGAAGAAUGCGAAUUAGGUUAGAAGGCUAGUGCAUGUGGGUGAGUUGUACCCAAUAAUUAGGAGAACUUUGGGAUAGCUGGGCUGAUAGUGUUAGGGUUAUAUCCAUAGGUUGGAGCUGCUAAUAGGAAGGGAUGGGGUGGUGGGUGCCUUUUGUUCGUUAGUGUAGGAUAUUAUUUUAUGAGUAUCUUAUUUUUAUUAUUUCAUCUUAUUUCAUGUUUUAUUACGACUUUAUUUAUUAUUUUUUGUCUUGAGCCGAGAAUCUAUCAAAAAUAGUAUCUUUAUUUCUCUAAAGGUAAUGGUAUGAACUACGUAUAUUUUAUUUUUUUGAAAUCACACUAUAAAAAAUACAUUGAAUUUAUUAUUGAUGUCAAUUAGAUGUCAAAAUGCUGAUUUGGAAUUAUAACUUCACAUCGUAUGUCCAAAAAUAAGCUGUGUCCCCAGCUCUAGCUUUUACUGUAGUAUAAGUCAUUUAUUGCUCUCACAAAAGAUUUGUAAGAUUAGUGGUCUCAAAUCUGUCAUGUUGACCAGUUACGUACCCCAAAAACAUUGAUUAAGUUGAAUAAACAUCACAAAUUAUCUAUCAUUCCAAUGCAAUAAGUCAAAAAUACUACUCCCUCGUUUCCCUUGAUUUAAAAACGAAUGUCCUAUUUUAAUUUGACAUAAAGUUUAAAAAAUAAUUUCUCUGUUUAGUAUUAAUUGGUCCUAGACACUUGAUAUAUCCAUUAAGAAAUCAAUAAAUAAAGAUGUAUUUUAUAUAUUUAUCCUUUUAUGUCUUUUAGGGGCCGUUUGGUAGCGUGUAUAAAAACAAUGUUGAAUAAGAUAUAUUAGUAAUGUUUGCAUUACUAAUGCAAGUAUUAAUAAUAUUGGUAUUAGUUAUGCAAACAUUAUUACCUACACAGUAUUUGGUUUAAUAUAUUAACAAUAAUAAAUGUUUACAUAAUUUUUAUAAAAAAUGUUUGUUUAUCAAAAACCCUUCUUUUCAUUAAAACUUCAUAGAUAUCUCGUGAUAAUUACGAAUAAUGGUGACAUUAAAACUUCAUAGAUAUCUCGUGAUAAUUACGAAUAAUGGCGACAUCCGCCUACAAAUUCACUCCUUUAACCACCAAUUUCAAUUCUUUAUAUUCAUCCUCCAAAAGCUCCUUUCUCUUCUCUGAAAAAGAUCCUCAAGUGUAAGCACAAUUUCUAGAACUUCAUCAAAAUCGACAUGAUUCAUAAUUCUUCAAUAAAUAUGAUAAUCUGCUCUUCUGCAUAGAGAGUAAUAAAGGUAAACUGAAAGAGAAGGAGAAUUUUGAUACUAAUAGGAGAAGUUUAGGAAGUGAUGUUGACGAAAGAGGACAGACGAGAGAUUCCGACGAAAAAAAUAACAAAGCAAUCAUUAUUUGAUUGAUAAAUAAUAAAAGCAACUUUGAUGGAAAAAAUCACAAUUGUUUGAUUAAAUGAAAGGAAGAACAUAUGGAGAAAAUCAUUGUUGCUUUUUCACAGCAAAGUGCAGUGAAGAAAAGAGAGACAAAAUGAUUUGAGGGAUAAUUUUGCAAUUCAUCAAUUUAAUGCAUGUGUUGAAGUCUUUGUAUUGCUAAUACAUGAAAAAUGGGUGGUACUAGUAAUACACACCUCAAUACACAACAGAGUGUAUAACUAAUACAAACACUAGUUAUACAUAAGAUGAAAAAGUGUACCAAACAAGGUAUUAGUAAUACACAAGGCUAAUACAUGUAUUAUUUUUGCUAAGGGUGUGCAAAAACUAAACCGACCGAUAAACCGAACCAAUAAAAAUGUUAUCGGGUUAUUAGUAUUGGGUUAUUGAGUUAACGAUUUUUUAUUAGUUUUACAAAAAAAUUUAUCAGAUAAACAGUUCGAUUUUGUUUUUAGCUUAUUGGAUUAUCGAUUAAACCUAUAAUCCAAUAAGAAUACACUAAGUUAUUGUUUUACUCCUAUUUGUGUUAUAUAUAUAAAUAUUUAUAUUACUAAUAUAUAUAUAUACACACACACACUACUUAUUCACAAUUCAGAGAUUCACAAAGUAUUAACCUAUUCAAGACAACAAAGGCACAAUACAAAACUCGGGUAUUAUCAAUUGGAAAGCUUGUAGCAUUUAGUAGCUUCCAACAAUUAAGAUUCAGUUUUUUUCCGAACUAACAUUCAAUUCAAAUUUGAAGAUUCUUGUAAACUAAAACAACUAAGAUUUCGUUUGUUUAUUUUAGUUGUUACUAUUUUUAUUUUAUGAGUAUUUUUUUAUUGGUUAAACCGAAAAUCGAACCAUUAAGCACCAAAAACUGAUAAACUGAAAACCGAUAAAAAAAUAUCGUAUUGGUUGGUUAUUGAUUUUGCAUAUUUAAAAACCGAAAAUCGAUAAACCGAACCAAUAACACAUAAAACCAAACCGAACUGACCGAUGCACAACUCUAAUUUUUGCUACACAUUGAGGCAAUAGGGGUAACAACUUUGAAAUCUCAGGUCCAAAGAACUACAAAAAUUGGUGAGUCAAUCCAGCCUUUGUAGACAAGAUUACCUUGAAUACAUGUGCCUAUGGGGUGGACAAGUUGUCCGUUGAAUUAGUCAAGGUGUGCAUAGAUGUUGCAAAAGAUUAUAGAUCAUUCAGCAGAAUGUUGACUGAAGAAAUCAGCUCCACACUCGAUUUCAUCUGUCUUGCUGUUUCCAGAUUGGGCCAUCAAUAUUCUGUAAACUCUCUUUGAACACCUCUCUCCCAAUCUUCUAUCAUCUGACACCAACCCUUCCACUCUCAAGUCUUUCAGCAAAAAUUCUUUCUCAUGCACCUGAAAAUUUUUCAAGAGUAAAAAUAUGUUGGGAACUCAUUUUAUCCCCAACGGACCAACAUAUUAUGGCAUAAGUGAAUCCUCAUUUGACCUUCUAUUAAAUAUUAUUCGAGACUAAAUAACUACAACGAUGCAAGUAGACAUGUUACCAUAACAUUUCAAUUUUUAGUAUUAUCAAGCUCUUGUUUGAACUGAGUCGUCUGAAUGGCCUAACAGUAUCCUCAUUGAACAAGAAUUAAUUACAUUUACCGAAGAAUAGCAGCUCCACAAAGUAAUUUGCCCAUUAGUAAGUGACAUUUCUUAAGCAUACACUCAGCCUCUCAUAUGAACCGGGUAUAUGCUAAUAUGAUAAGAGUCUUUUAAGAAGUUCCUGCCCUCUUUAGAAAGGUCAUUAUCCAACAUCUUAAGUUGAAUACGCUGGUCAAAAGGAGAGGGAUGGAAGUGUAACAAGACCACUGCAUUACUACCUUUUCUCUCCAUUAGCCACUGUAAAUAGCCAGAAUCCUACUGAGUCAGUAACACUGACUAGAACGUGGAUUUACAGAUUGUAGCAAGUGUCUGCAGCGACACUGAAGGAAGUACCAUUCUUGAUAUUAUCUUCCCGUAUAUACAGAGCCUUGAAAGUAAAAGUAGUGAACCAGAAGCGCACUGUGAUAUCAGUAAAUAAGAUACUAUUUCCAAGGGAAAUGAAGGAAAUUUUAUUGCUUACUGAUUUACUUGGAUCCAUGUAAACAUGCAAAAGAGAUUUCAUUGUGGGAUAUUUCUUCCAUAUGGCCAUGGCAAAUCGCGGCUGAACCUUUGGAACAGCCACCAAUGCUUUCAACCUGCAAGAAACGACAAUUCAUCCAAUAAUAACACAGCAGCCACUACUACCCUAGCACCGAAGAUGGUAAAAUGAGUAAACGCUUGUAAAAGGGGGUGAACUUUUAAAACUAUAUGAUAAAUUAGCUUAAUUUUACUACUUAACACACAAUUAACCAUUUUGAAACUACAGAUCAAGUAGAAGCCCCAUACUACAGUAGAAACUAGCCAAGGAAAAACUUGCUAAAUUGGGAUCAUAACUCAAACAUCCUGGUUGGAGUCAAAUGGAGCAGGAAAGAUGGUACAAUUCAGCAGUGAAGGAUGGGUAUCUCUCAGAGUCAAUUAGGAGUGGUGACCAAAUAAGUACAUAGAAAAAACAGAAAAAUAAGACUCAACUCAAGAUAGAGAUACAACAACAAAUUUGCAGAAUUUGAUUAGACUAAAGAUGGAGAUACAACAACAAAUUUGCAGAAUUUGACUAGACCAACUUGGAAAGUGUUCCGUGCAUAUAACUAUUAUCAUGCUUGCUUCAACGAGCUCUAAAAGAUAAAUGCAAGAGCUUAGAAACAUGACGAAUAUUCCAGAGGGUUUCUCAAGGCAGUAUAGUUUAAAUGAAACCGACAAAGUAGAAAAUAAGGACGAUUCUUUACUAUUUCAACCCAAAAAAGGGCUAUUAUUAAGAGAACAAGUGAAGCAAGAAAGUGAUUGAUACACAGCCUCGAGAACUCACCAGAAAAUUUUUUAUGGACAUUGAGGAAAUCCAAACUUCUAAAGUGGAAAACAGCACAAGCACUUACCAUGGGCUCUUUUUUAUCUGGUUCUUGUCAACGCAAUCCUUGGGAAUAAGAGAACCAUUUGCAUUAACAGAUAGUCUUGUUAACUUGUUUCUGUGAAUAAACAAAAACAUCUUAGCAAUGAUAUGUGAAGCAGUAAGUACACAUUAACUUCUUUAUCAUCUCUAUUUAAUCUACAGUUGGCCCAGAGAAUGGAAGUCCUUAGGCAUCUGCAUAUUGAAUGUCUCAAGCAUCACCGUCUCAUUUGAACCAAGAGCAGAAAGGGCAUAAACAACUUUUUCAUUCAACUGAGUAUAGUACUCUCUGUGGCCACAUUCCAUUACCGUGGAGGAUAAGUCCCUAGAAUUCAGGACUUGAUACUCUUCAAAAGCACUUUGCUUUGAUAAGACAUAAUAUCACAUUCCUUCAGUUACUUGUCCAGUUUACACCACAAUUACAACAACAACAUACCCAGUGCAUUCCCACAAAGUGGGGUCUGGGGAGGGUAAAGUACAUGCAGUCCAUACCACUACUUCGGAUGAAGUAGAGAAGUUGUUUCCGAUAGACCCCCGGCUCAGGAUAGAUAACAGUAUAACAAACAAAAACAUAAAAAUAAACAACAAAAUGGGAUAACACGCCGCUAGAUAAUAAAAGAAACAAGACACCGACAAAGUAAUACUAUAAAUUAUUUAUUCAGAAUCACAAACAUCAUCAGAACACUACGAACAACAAACUACAAGCAUAGAUACAAUAAAAGCACUCCUCCUGCUAUUACAGACUCACUCCUACCCACAAUUACAUACUCCAAAACUUCUAAUUUAAAAACAUAUUUAUUUUGACAAAAUCAUUAUAUUAAUUAGAAAGUGAUUGAUUAUUAAGUCACUUAAAAUCCUAACAUUGACUUUUCUUUUGAUAAGUGGUGUCCGGUCCUGCUUGCCCGCACCUCUACUAAUUCCACGAGAUACUUGCCACCUCCCACCAGCAACAGAUACCAGUUAACUCUGUCUACCAAGGCUAGAACAGAUGGGAAGAAAUCACCUAAUGUUUGUCUCUAUUGGGAAUUGAACCUGAGACUUCAUGGUGCUCAACCCAACUUCAUUGAACCACUGGCCACACCCUUGGGUACAAAUCCUAACAUUGACUAAUUAUCAUAAACACUGGUGAGAUAUAUAUCAUACACGAUGCACUUAAGGCUAAGCUUUCAUAGCUAUAUUGAAGUUUCGAUGAUAAAAAACUAACAAAUGACACCCAAAUUUCUUUUAAGACUUUUAGCAAUUAUCGAGUACUAAGAGUAUUUAACAUGAAGAAACACGAAUUUGACAAAUAAAUUGCCAACCAGUCUAAAAAUUUUGGAUGAUAUGAAUUAUCCUAUAGGAUAUGACUAUUGAUGGUGAAGAUAUGAUCAAGAAACACCAAACUGUACAUCUACUUUACGAAUAAAUAUCAACCUCUUUAACGGCCAGCUGAACUUUUUAAUAUAGAAAGUGUCAACUUCAUCCAAUAUUACGUUGGUAUUGGAUAAUGCUGACUCUUAUGUAUGUUUCAGACUCUCAGUGAUCGAUUAAUUUGUAAAAACUAACAGAUAGGAAACAUGAAUACAAUAACAAUAUACCUAGUGUAUUCCCACAAAGUGGGGUCUGGUGAGGGUAAAGUAUACACUGUCCAUACCACUACCUCAGAUAAAGUAGAGAAGUUGUUACCAAUACACCUCGGGCUUAGGACAUGAAUGUAUUUUAAAUUCCCAGAUUACGAAGCAUCCGCACUAAGGGGUCAUUUGGUUCACGAAUUCACUAUGCAAAGAUUAUAGUAAAGUGAUUGCUUUUCGUUUAGUUUGAUGGGAAAUAAUAAAGUGAUUAUUAUGCCAUAUAAUAACGCAGGAAUUGCUAUUCAACUAAUAAUAAUGUAGGGAUUUUUAUUCGUGAAUAAGAAUACAAGAAUUGUUAUGCAAGGAUUGCCUUCUUUAAGGGCAUUUGUCAUUGCAAAAUCAUGUCCAGGUAUAACUAUAUGUAAGUAUAUUUCUAUUUCACAUUUUAUCAUACAGAAAAUAAUAUAUAGAUACCAGCAUAAUUUUUUUUUCUGAUCAAGUAAAAGAUUUCAUUGAUAAUAACAAGGGGUAUACCAAAAAAUAAAAGACCUACUAUGGUUCUCUACAAAAGACACCCAAUCCUCUAUACAGACAAGAACUAUAUGGGUGCACCAAAAGAAAAUAAUGGAUCGGAGACUACUUCUAAGAUGAGCAAAGCUCAUCUCCACCCAUUCAUAAGCUCUCUUAUUUCUCUCUUUCCAAAUGACCCACAUAAGAGUGAGAGGAGUAACAUUCCACGUCUUUUGCCUUUUUCUUCUUGCUCCGCUCGUCCAACUGAACAUCAACUCCUUCACAAAUCUUGGCAUCAUCUAAGAAACGCCAAACCAUUCGAAGAUAUCCCGCCAUAACCUCGUGGCUAAUUUGCAAUGUAAAAGAAUAUGAUCCACGUCCUCACCUGUCUCCUUCCAAAGGAAGCACCAACUCAAGCAUACAACCUUUAGUUUUCUAAGAUUCUCUGCCAUCAAAAUUACCCCUCUAGUAGCUAACAACAUGAAAAAACUCACUUUUCUCGGCACCUUAGGUAUCCAAACAGAAUCAAAUGAGAAACUCUCAUCCGCCCUAACUAAAAGCUUCUUCUAAAAGGAUUUAACAGAGAACACUUUGUUAUUCCCCAACUCCCAACUCAAAGUAUCAGAUCUGUUGAUUGGUUCACAAUGAUUUUGAAGUAAAGCUAACAAUCUUUGAAGCUCGGACACCUCCCAAUCUUGGAAAUUCCUUCUGAACCUCAAAUCCCAAAACGUCCCAUCUCUUUGUGUCCCCCUAAUUUGUUGAACAGGGAAACUCACUUUGGCAAGAAACCCUAAAAAAACUUGGGAAUUCUGUGAAAAAAGUUAAAGAUGAUUUUUUGGAAUAUCAUAGUAUUUUUUUAGAAUGUCCUAGCAUAGAUACUUUGAUAAUUAUCUUGAAGAAUUAUCCAGAUAUUCUAGAGUAUUGUAGAGAAUAAAGUUUGCUAGAAUAUUCUUAUAGAUGUAUCUCGAAAAACUUCUAGAAUCCAUCCAUAAACUAGUAUAAAUAGGGAUGGGUCUUUUACAUUUGUAACCAACCAAAAACAAAUUCAAUACAAAGCAAAUUCAAGUAGUCUUCUUUCAAACCAAGUUCUCCCUUUCAAUCUCUUCCUUCACAUUUCUAGCUUCCUCUUCUCAGUUGAAUAUUCCAAUCUUAGUUAACGAUCUUGGGAUAGUAGAAGGUCUUCUUAAUUACACCUUUCUUCUGUUAUUCUCUACAUGGUAUCAGAGCCAAACUUAUAGAUUGGCUUGUAUUCAAUUCAAGAUUGGGUUUGUGGUCGAUUUAAUUCAAGAUUGUCCGAAUGGAUUUAACCGGUUUGUCCGGAUGGAUUUAACCGUUCGCGUUAAUGAACUAGGAAUGGAGUUGUUGAAUCAGUCUAAUUACAAGGUAUGAAAGAUAUGUAUGGAAUCAUACCUUGUGGGCGAGGAUUUGUAGGAUGUUGUUAAUGGGAGUAACACAAGUUCUCAUGCUGGCAGACCAGAAAAUAAUGGUGAAUAUAAGAAGUGGAAGCAGAUUAAUACAAAGACGGAGUUUAUCUUGAAGAGAUCCAUCUCCUCCAGUUUAUUCGAUCAUAUUAUAAGGUGCAAAAUAUGGAGGACCCUCGAUCAGUUAUUCAACAAGAAGAAUGAAGCUCGACUACAGAUAUUGGAGAAUGAAUUAGCUAACACCAACCAAGGUAAUCUUUUUAUUGCUGAGUAUUUCUUAAGGAUUAAGAAUUUAUGUUCUGAGCUCUCUUUAUUAAAUCCAGAUGAGGCUAUCUCUGAAGCACAACUAAGAAGAAAUAUUAUUCGCAGUUUGAAGCCAGAAUAUAUUUUCUUUGUGACAUCGAUUAAAGGAUGGGCUCAACAACCAUCCGAAUUUGAGAAUUUAGUUACUACGAAACAAUUGGUUGGUGAAUUUGUCAAAGAAAAUGAAGGAAAUGCUCUUGUAGCUGACAAGAGAAACAUUAAAGGAAAAGCAAGAAAUAUGCCUCACUCUCGAUUCUGAAGUGGUUCAAGCUCGCCUGGAAAGAAGGAAGUCUUUUAACAAUUAUAGUAAGAAGCCUACCAGAUGUUAUCGAUGUGGCAAAACAUAAUACAUAUGAAGAUAUUGUCGAGCCAUGGAGAGCAACAUAGCUCAAACUGAAAAAGUUGUUGAAGAAGAAGAAGGUUGGGGAAGAUGGUUAGUAGCUGAAAGUCGAGCAAUAGAUGCCCUGGCUUCUAUAAAGUUGGAAAAAGAUUGAAUCGAAUAUAAUACAAUCCAUCAUAUGGAGAAGGAAGGCAUUGAUAAGAAGCAAGAAAAUUUUGAAGACGUUCAGACAGGUGACACGGUAGCUGCUAUCAAGGAAAUCAAAGAACCAACAACAACAAACUCAGUCUAUUCUCACAUAAUGGGAUUUGGGGAGGGUAAAAUGUAUGCAGUCCAUACCACUACCUUCAAAGAAGUAGAAAGGAUGUUUCCGAUAGACCCCCGGCUCAAGACAAAACAAAGUCGUAAUAAAACAUGAAGCGAGAUGGAAUAGCAGAAAUAAGAAAUAAGACACGCACUAAGUAUUACCAUAACACUAACAAACCAACAAACCAAAAGCACCCACCACACCCAAACUCUCCUAACCAGAAGCUCCAACCUAUGGACAUAACCCUAAGACUACUAGCCUUGCUACAUCAAAGCUCUCCUAACAACAGGCUACGAUUCACCCACACGCACUAGCCUUCUAACCUAAUUCACGUCCUCCAAACUUUCCUAUCUAGGGUUAUGUCCUCAAUAAGCUGUAACUGCUCCAUGUCACGUCUAAUCAUCUCCCUCCAGUAUUUCUUUGCCUACCUCUACCCCACCUGAAACCAUCCAAAACUAGUCUCUCACACCUACGAACUGGGACAUCCAUGACUUUCCUCAUCACAUGCUCAAACCAGAAUCCGAAACCAUUCUAUGCCACCAAACUAAAAAAAGCAUCAAACUAUGCCAUAUAUUUUAAAAAGUACCAAACUAUGCUUAACUCACAAAAAUUAUGAGUUAUGCACAAAUAUUUUUAACGGAAGGCAGCAAACGACGUUAAAUUUUUUGAAAAGUGCAUAACUCACAAUUUUUGUGAGUUAUGCAUUCUUAUUUUAACAUAACUCACAAAAAUUGUGAGUUAUGCAUUCUAUUAUAACAUAACUCACAAAAAAAAUUUGUGAGUUAUGUACAUAACUCACAAUUUUUAUGAGUUAUGUGUUAAAAAAUAAAGCCUUUCCCUUUCCCAAUCUUCACUUUAGCGAUUGAGAUUCAAAAUUUCAAAGAACCCUACCCAAUUUCAACUGGUCCCCCCUUCUUUGUCCAUCGAUUGUGCUUCGUAUAGUUUUCAAGUAUGUGAAUUUUAUUUUAAAACAUAUGAUAAAUUGCAGUGUACCCAAAUUCAUAGUCAAAAUUAAGUGUUUUGACUCUCGUACUUUGAACUAUUUUACAUAAAUUAAGAUAAAGAGAGUAGAUUUUGAACCCAACAACAACAAUAAUAUAUAUAUCAAGUGUAGUUACACGAGUGAGCCCGAGAAAGAAUAGAAUGUAUGUAAAUUUUAUCCCAUUCGUAAAGAUUGUGAACCUAAUAGGGUAAAUUAGUUGUGGUAGGAUCCUGAACUUGUUUCAAUAUAUAACAUCCCAAUUUUAAAUUUGCCUAUGUUUAGAUUGAUAUGAAGUUAUAGUUAUUGUUUGGGACAUAAAUAAAUAAAUUAAUUCAUGUCCAAGCUUUUCUAAUAUAAAAUUAGGGCCAAAAAGAAAAUAAGAAAUUUAUCUUUAAAUCAGUUGUCUCGAGUUUGAAUUCUAUUGAAUAUAAGAUUGUCUUUGUUAGUGAGCUUUAAUUCCCGUUAUAAGACUUUAUGAAACAAAUUCAAAUUUAAUCAGGCCAACAACAUAUUCAGUGUAAUCUCAUAAAGUCGAGUUUUAACAGAAUAAAAUUUACUCAGGCCUUUUCUCUAUUUCAAAGAUGAGGUAGAUAGGUUGUUUCUGAAUUACUUCCGACUCAAAAUAAGAACAUACUAGAAAAUUUAAACAAUGCCUACUAUGAAUAUCGAAUAUCCAAGUGAAAAACAAAAGAAUACAUAAAUCUUAACUAUACAAAAUUAAUUCAUGUCCAAGCACAAUCAGUGGACAAGGAGGGGGGGGACCAGUUGAAAUUGGGUAGGGUUUUGUGAAAUUUUGAAUCUCAAUCGCUAAAGUGAAGAUUGAGCAAGGGAAAAGCUUUAUUCUUUAACACAUGACUCAUAAUUUUUGUGAGUUAUGUUAUAAUAAAAUGCACAACUCACAAAAAUUGUGAGUUAUGUUAAAAUAAGAAUGCAUAAUUCACAAUUUUUGUGAGUUAUGUUAAAAUAAAAUGCAUAACUCACAAUUUUUGUGAGUUACGUUAAAAUAGGAAUUGAGUAACUCACAAAAAUUGAGUUAUGCACUUUUCAAAAAAUUUAACGUCGUCAGCUGCCUUCUGUUAAAAAUAUUUGUGCAUAACUCACAAUUUUUGUGAGUUAAGCAUAGUUUGGUAUUUUUUAAAAUAUACGACAUAGUUUGGUGCUUUUUUUAGUUUGGUGGCAUAUAAUGGUUCCGGAUUCCCCAAACCAUCUCAACCUCACUUUCCGCAUCUUGUGAGUUAAGCAUAGUUUGGUGCUUGUUUUAGUUUGGUAGCAUAGAAUGGUUCCGGAUUCCCCAAACCAUCUCAACCUCACUUUCCGCAUCUUGUCCUCCACCGAAACCACUCCCACCUUCUCCCGAAUAGCCUCGUUCCUAACUCUAUCUCCUCUAGUAAGUCCACACAUCUAACGCAACAUCCUUAUUUCCGCCACCUUCAGUUUUUGAAUGUGGGAGUUCUUGACUGGCUAACACUCCACUCCAUACAGCAAUGGCCGGACGGACUGCCACUCUAUAGGAUUUGCCUUUAAGUUUGGAAGGAACCUUCUUAUCACCCAACACUCUCGAGGCGAGUCUCCACUUCAUCCAUCCUGCCCAGUACGGUGAGAGACAUCCUCGUCAAUCUCUCCAUUCCACUGAAUCAUAGACUCAAGAUACUUAAAACUAUCCCUCUUACAAACAAAUACUUAAAGUAGAUUUUGAGCAGACAAUGUCUGAAACUCUAUAUGUCAAUGAUGACUUUAUCGGAGAAAUCAUUAAGGGAGAUGUAGUAGAAGUUGAAGUCUCUGGUCAAUCAUCUAUCGUAUCAUGGUCAAUUGUUGGCUCAGAGAAAAUACUGGAAGUUGAUGUAGAUGCUAAAGAUCAAAUAGAUGAAGACGCUAAAAUCAAAGCCCCAAUUUAAGAUAAAGAGACAUACAAUAUGAUUGAAGAACUAGAAACAGAAUCUAGUGGUGGAUUCUAUUAUGGUACUGAGGCUUCACAAAAAUUUGAUGAUCAAAUCAUCAUCGAAUCAAACGAGGAGGCUGAUAUUGAUGAAAUAUCCUUGUACUUCGGAGUUGUAUCUGAAGGAGGAGGUUUUAAAAUAUUGAACCUUGGAGUUUCAAACUUGCCCAUGACAAAAGCUUCUCCAAAGAAUAUUGUCGUUGAGGAAUUCAGAGAACGGGGGAGAUCGAGAACUCAUCAACAUAAAACUCGACAAGGAGAUGACUCACUUGGUUCACAAAGGCCAAAAGGAAAUAUUGUAAAGUCGGUACGUUACAAAGAUAAAACUUUUGUUAGUACAUAUACACGUAUCUUUGCAGGACCAAUUGAUGACAUAAAAACUUCAUUAUUUGAAAAAGUUAGAGGAGUUAAGAAAAAAUUUCAAGAAUUUCCACCAAGGCAUGGUUCAAAGCUUCGUUUGAGUUCUUUCGCGACAAGCUUGGGGUAGUUUUCAAAAAAUCACUUUAAGGGGGAGUAUGAAAAAUGCUAAAGAUGAUUUUUUAGAAUAGCAUAGUUUUUUAUAGAAUAUCCUAGUAUAGGCACUUAGAUAAUUGUCAAGAAUUAUCUAGAUAUUCUAGAGUAUUGUAGAGAAUAAAGUUUGCUAGAAUAUUCUUAUAAAUGUAUGCGGCGGGGUUAGAGAAGAAAGGCGGGGAAAAAAGGUUGUAUAGGCUUGCUAAGGCUAGGGAGAGCAAGGGUCGUGACCUCAAUCAAGUGAAGUGCAUUAAGGGGGAGGACGGUAGAGUUCUAGUGGAGGAUGUUCACAGUAAGAAGAGAUGGAAGGAGUAUUUUCAUAGACUUUUAAACGAGGAGGGGGACAGACGCAUUGCGUUAGGAGAGUUAGAGCGCUCGGAGGAGAGCUGUGACUUCAGUUACUAUAGACGUUUUAAGGUUGAGGAGGUCAGAGAGGCUAUUCGUAGGAUGCGGAGGGGUAGGGCGACUGGGCCUGAUGAGAUUCCGGUGGAUUUUUGAAAGUAUGCUGGGGGCAGGUUUAAGAUGGUUGACUGAUUUGUUCAACGCCAUUUUCAAGACUGCGAGAAUGCCUGAGGUUUGGAGAUGGAGUGCGAUGAUUCCGUUAUAUAAAAAUAAGGGUGACAUUCAGAGUUGCAACAACUAUAAGGAUAUUAAGCUGUUGAGUCACACUAUGAAGAAUUGGGAGAGGGUGGUUGAGCGGAGAUUGAGGGUCGUAUCUAUUUCUGAGAAUCAGUUUAGUUUUAUGCCUGGUCACUCGACGACAGAGGCAAUCCACCUGGUGAGAAAACUGGUGGAGCAAUAUAGGGAAAGGAAGAGGGAUUUGCACAUGGUGUUUAUCGAUCUGGAGAAGGCGUAUGACAUACGGGAGGUUCUUUGGAGAUGUCUGGAGGUGAGAGGAGUUCCGGUGGCGUACAUCAGAGCUAUUAAGGACAUGUACGAUGGAGGGAAGACUCGGGUGAGGACGGCGGGAGGAGACUCAGGGCAUUUUUCGGUCGAGACACGUUUGCACCAGGGUUCAACCCUAAGCCCGUUCCUAUUUGCGUUGGUGAUGGUCGUGUUGACGCGGAGUAUUCAAGAUGAGUUGCCGUGGUUUAUGUUAUUUGCGGAUGAUGUAGUGCUGAUUGAUGAGUCGCGGGGGUGUGUGAAUGAGAAAUUGGAGGUUUGGAGGCAAAUCCUUGAAUCUAAGGGGUUCAGGUUGAGUAGGUUCAAGACGGAGUAUUUGGAAUGCAAGUUCAGUGACUCGAGUCAGGAGGACGGUGUGGUGGUGAGGUUGGAAUCUCAAGAUGUUUGUAAGAAGGAUAGUUUUAAGUAUCUUGGGUCUAUGAUUCAGGGGAAUGGCGAGAUUGAUGAGGAUGUCUCUAAUCAUAUCGGAGCUGGUUGGAUGAAGUGGAGGCUCACCUCGGGAGUGUUAUGUGAUAAGAAGGUGACCCUUCCGGUCAUGCUGUAUGGAGCGGAGUGUUGGCCAGUCAAGAAAUCUCAUAUCCAAAGAUUGAAGGUGGCUGAAAUGAGAAUAUUGUGUUGGAUGUGUGGUCUUACUAAAGGGGAUAAAGUUAGGAAUGAGAUUAUCUAGGAGAAGGUGGGAGUGGCUUCGGUGGAAGACAAGAUGCGAGAAGGCAGGUUGAGAUGGUUUGGGCAUGUGAUGAGGAGGAGCACGGAUGCCCCUAUUCGGAGGUGUGAGAGGCUAGCUUUGCAUGAAUUAAGGAGGAGUAGAGGUAGGCCAAAGAAAUAUUGGAGGGAGGUGAUUAGGCACGACAUGGACCAGCUUCAGCCUACUGAGAACAUGACCCUAGAUAAGAAGGUGUGGAGGUCGCAGAUUAGAAUAGAAGGCUAGUGUGAGUGUAUGGGUUGUGGCUAGGGGUUAGGAGAGUUAUGGUGUGGUGGGUGUCUUAGGUAUUGUGAGAGUAUGUCAUUACUACGUGAGUAUCCGUUUUCUUAUAUUUAUUGUGUAUUGCUCAUAUUUUCUCUUAUUUCGGAAUUCUCUGAUAUUUAUCUCUUAUUUUUGUUUAUGUUAUCCACCAUGUCUCAUGUUUCAUUACGGCCUUGGUAUACUAUUCUCAUUCUUGAGUCGGGGGUCUAUGGAAAACAGUCUCUCUACCUCUUUGGAGGUAGUGGUAUGGACUGCGUACAUUUUACCCUCCCCAAACCUCACUUUGUGAGAAUACACUGGAUCUGUUGUUUUUGUAUCUAGAAAAACUUCUAGAACCAUCCAUAGACUAGUAUAAAUAAGGAUGGGUCUUUUACAUUUGUAACCAACCAAAAACAAAUCCAAUACAAAGCAAAUUCAAAUAUUCUUCUUCCAAAUCCAAGUUCUCCUUUUCAAUAUCUUUCUUCACCUUUCUAGCUUCUUCUUCUCAGUUGAAUAUUCCAAUCUUCGUUAACGAUCUUAGGCUAGCAAAAGGUCUUCCCAAUUACACCUUUCUUCUGCUAUUUUCUACAAAUUCAUCCUUAAGCACCAAGCCUCCACACCACUCUUACCUAAAAGACUAACUCCACUCCCUUCCCAACCUUAAACCCAAUAUUGUCACUAAAAGCUUCCCACCCCUUCAUAAUGCUCCUCCACACACCACACCCAAAAGGCAAAGUUAUCCUAUUUGUUCUCCAUCCCCUUCCAUAUCUCCAUAUUUACCCACUAUCACCCCUCUCCAUAAAGCUUCUCCCUCCACCACAAAUCUCCACAACCAUUUGCCCAAGAGAGCUUUGUUAAAAACCUUCAAAUCCUUAACCCCAAGACCUCCACACCGUUUAGGAGAUGUCAUGGUCUCCAAUCGAACUAAGUGAAACUUCUUUGCCCCAUCCGCCACAUUCCAAAGAAAAUUUCUUUGCAACCUAUCCAACUUCCCUAUAACAUCAUUGGGAGCAUUGAACAAGUACAUGCAAUAAGUAGGGAUACUUGAUCAAGUGCUCUUAAUAAGCACUUCCUAACAAGUAUCUUUUCUACCAACCAGCUAAUAGAUGCCAGCCUAAAUUAUACCAAGCUACUAACAAUACAGAGUUUAUCGCUGAACCAACUAUUGCAUUUAGCUACUGCAGAGUCAUAAACCAGAAAACCAAAUGUUUUAUUGGUUUGAUUUUUUUUUGGUUUGCUCACAUGCACGUUUUACGAAUAUGAAAUGGUCUGGUUUAUUUUUCCUCAAACAUUCAGCCAACAAAAUGAUUAUAGUGGCAUUAUUACUGAUUUUUUUUUGUUUGCUCACAUGCACGUUUUACGAAUAUGAAAUGGUCUAUUACCUUCAUAAAUAAAGCACUGCAUCAGUUAAAUACUGAAUUUCACUAGAAAUUUAAUUGACUUGUUAGCAUAAUAUUUCGCGACCCCCUGAAACUGGCACCACUUAAUCGGUGCACACUUCAAACUAUUUUUUAAUUUAAAUUACCCCUCUAUGCUUGGCUAUUUGGGAGUCUUCAGCCCCGUGGAUGACCUCAACCCAAGGAGGUAUGGUGCACUCCCUGCCAUGUGGAUAUUUUUUAUAAUAAAAUAUGUUUUAUCUUUUCUAAUUCAUUAAUUUUCCAAAAGCAAAUAAGCAGAAACCAGUUGUUGCUGUUUAAUGAACUACAAGAUUCACAUUAAAAUCACUGUUCAACUUGCCCACUCAUCGGAAAAAAAAAGGAAAAAAUGACCAAAUAUUUUCCUUCUGAAAGCAACAGAGUAAACAAGAGGCCCAAUCUUUCCUAAUUAGCAAGUUUAGUAGAAGUACAUAAAAGUCCACAAAUUCACAAUUCAGCGGGUAUCAUAAACUACCCCAAAUUUUAAUUCAAAUUACUACAAGCGUGACACAUUGAUAUUAUUAAGAUGUUAGCAUAAAUGGCAUCCAUUGAAUUGUCCAAGAAUACAAGUUCACUGAAAUAUAACUGACAUACCUAAACUGACAAGAAGCUAGGCUGCAAGUCAGCCCAGCUACAUGUUCAGCUAAUUCAGCUUCAUCGACACAGUGCCUAUAGUGCACCUUAGCAAAGCUAAUUGUUAAUUUUGAUAGAACCUGCCAAAGAAAAGAGGAAUUCAACGCCCAAGGAAUAGCACCAGAAUUUCAAGCUUACAUGAGUAAGAUGAUUAGUUCCAAUAAUUACAAGAACCAGUGUAGCAACAACCUCCUCUAUAGGUGGUCGUCUCCAACCAGUAUGAUUGGCAGGGUCCUUGUAUUGUCCUUGUUCCCUAUCACCAAUAGCAGUAACAAUUAUUAGGUACUGUGGAAAAUUAAAUAACUUUCUGCUUUCUUAAGCAUUAGAGAUCUUGAAGCCCUGACCAAUUGUUUCUUUGCGCUAUACAUGAAAUUCAUUCCACUGAACGUAGAGGAUUUGGGUCAGAAGAAGUGCUUAGACUUACCUAAAUAUGAUGACAAAGAAAAUAACACUCACAAGACAACCUUUUUAGGGGCACACAGAAUUCCACCAACAAAAAGAAAAAAAAAUAUAUGCCCAAGAUUAGAAUGCUUUAUGUUACAUGGACUUGGUUAUAAGUAUCAAAUAUGUAUGUCUCGUUCUGUAAUCAGUAAAUAAUUUGUAAUAAUAAGGAUUAUGAAUUACACAUACCCAUGCAAUACCAACUAAACAAGUUCAUGUACCAGAGGAGUUGACUAGCAAAUCAAACUUGAACUACUGCAUUUCUCUGUGUACUUCUAAGAUAAAGCAAAUAGAAAUAAACAUUUUCAGUUAGAAUUAUCUCAACUAAUUUUUUCACCCUGGCUUUAAUUUAAAACUCAAUGCGCUGCUGCUUUUUUCAAUAAUCGAGAAAUCCCCAAGGGACUCUGCUGCAACUUUUAUUCUUUUCUUGAAGAAAGAACAAUUAGAUAUUAAUAAUAGAAAACACGAGAACCUAAUAGGUGCAUUGUAAUUGUACUUAAAACAGUUUGCUCCUCAAAGUUUCAUUACAACUUAACAUUCACCAAAAAAAUAAUCAACAACGAAAUGUAAAAUUCAAUAUCUGUCACAGCUUGUUUUCAUCUCUCUAACAUGUCAGACGUGAAGAGAAGAACAUCGAGAAAGAAAAUGCACCUAUAACAGAAGGUUCUAUAAAUGGAUGACAGAUGUAGUCAACAAUCGAAUGGUCAAAUUAAGGAACUGUCAUACAUGAAGAAAAAAGGUUGAAAAAGAAAAUUACGGCAACAGCAGUGUUCCACAAACGGGGAACAGAAAAGAUAUAGCGUCCGUGUGUAUUCAUAGCAAAAACAAAACACAUUCAAGAGAUAAUAAAUUAACGAACUUAACAAUAACAACAACUACACCUCAAUCCCAAGUUAGUGGGUAAAUUUUACAAAAGCAAAAGUGAAAAAGAGUUAAGAUAAAGGACAAAAAAGAAGUUACUGUCAACCUUUUGUUGAUGUAUGCCAAAAGCUUGUUUGUGAGAUAACAAACUGUAUGAAGAGGAUAAAGGCGUUGAACACUGGAAACAUGACUCAUCAAUGAUCCGCUGUUCACAAGGUUGCAAAACUCUUCGGCCUCAAAUAUGAAUAAUACAUAUGAAACAUUAACUUCAGAUGCGAUCUGCACAAAAGGAAUCUAAUGACCUCAAUAAAAUGCAAAAAUUAGAAAGAAUAGUUACCCCUAGCUUUAGAGAACCAGUUCAAAAACGUGAUAUUGUAGCAGCACUAGCAUACACAAUUGCCAUCAUACACAUGACGAGUAGAAAGCUCAACAACAAUAACAUACCCAGAGUAACCCCACAAGUGGGCUAUGCUCUUUCAACACAAUUCAAAAACUUAGAUAGUUUCUCUGGGACAAAAUUGUAGAUAGCACUACCCCCUUUACCUUCGGCACAGAAAUUUGGACAGCCCUGAAAGCAAGGGAAACUCUGUCCAAUUUACUUAGAACAGCGGAAAGGCUUGCGUGGGUGUUUUACCCACUAAGGGCCUGUGACCACCCUAGAUUGGGCUGUGACAAGUGACUACCCAAAUAUUACCAUCAGGAAAAAAAAAAUUGCUUUUGCAAAAAUAAUAGACAUCCCAAUGGAUAUCCCAUAAAAAUGCACACAUUUUAGCACUAACUAUAGUCAAUUAUGCAUCUAUUAUUCUAUGAAAGUUAAAUGGGUAUAAUAGUUAAGUAUAUGACAUUAAAACAACUAUUAAAAGGUAGUCGAGUAGUUCAAGAUAGCUAACUGAAAUCUGCCAAAUAUUUGAAGAACAAGUUACCUUAGAUAGUUCCUCUGGGACACUCAUUGACCACACAAUAGACUUCUCAAUCGGAUUUGAUUUAAUUUGAUAGGAAAGACCUUUCUCCGCAAGCCUUGUUAGCAAAUGGCCUGCAUGGUAGAAUUGUCAUGUAGAACAGUCGUUUUUACGCAAUAAUGGACACACAGAAGGGGGAGGGAAAGAAACUAACAGAGAAAUGAGAUCUACCUGCAAUUGAGCCUAGUUCCACAACCUUAGUGUCAACUUGAGCUACAAUAGACUUCUGUGCUAACUUUCCCUUUUCCCACUUCUGCUUUUCCUUUUGUAUUUUUUUCUUCUCAGCAGCUUCCGCCCUUUCGGCUGCCUUUUGCAAUUUCUCUUGCUGUAUUAUGAAUAUAUACUAGAUUAUAUGUCAUAACUACUUAAACCUCCAAAUAAAUAGGCUUUUUAUCAAGGCUUACCUCUUUCUGAUACUUCUUUUCUUCCUUUAGACGAAGCUGUUCUUCCUUUGACUUCCUCAUUUGCCCUGUUGCUUCAUCCCCACUGCUUCUUUUACUUCUAUUGCCUUUACCUUUGCCCUUUGGUCUUGAAACCUCAUUGUUUGGCUCCAAAGAAUCAUUUUCUUCAUAAUGAUGACCAUAGUCCUGUAAGCAAAUUGCACCAUCAAAAUUUACACAGAGACAAGCCCUUUUGAGAAUUUAAAAAAGCUCUAGACAAAGAUACAAACAGUCAGAACAUGUCUUAAGCAGUAUCCUUCACACUAAUUAUUUAGGCACAUCUGUGAAUAGGCUUAUAAUCUUCAGAUGCCUAUUUCAUUUGGCAGAAUAGGCAGUUAAGAGUUCUGGAUAUGAAUCAGCUCCACAGGAUGCACAGAUCUCUAAUUCAGAUUGAAACCUUCUACCCUUCUGAUAACAAAUAAGAAACCCUAGAGGUGCAAACCAUUUUAAAACAGUUUGGACAUUCACAGUGUAUGAGUAGGUGUAUCUAAAUGACACAAAUAAUUAUGAACAAAACUCACUCUGCGAAUUUAAGCUCAAUUUGAGUUCAUUUAUUUAGUACAAGCUCAAGUUUAAUCAGACCACUUGACUAGAUGUUGUUCAUUAGAAAGUUCUUUCGUACUCUCUUUGGAGAAAGAUAUAUAGUUGAGCACUUAGAGUUUCUGUUUUCCACCUCAGGUCCUCAAUGCUCAAACCUACCCUAAGCCACCUUCUCACUACCUUCCCUCACCUCUUUCUCCAAGUUUCUGCUUUUCCUUCUCCAUUAGUGUUGUUUUUCCUGUCUUUAGGUAUUGCCUAAUUCAGGCCUCUCCUCCUCUUUUUCUCCUGUCCAAUCCAAGCUGCACCCUCACCUUCUCAUUGCUAUUGUGUCUGUCAAUUACUCUUUUCUUCCACAGCCUUUUACCUCACUGUUUGAAAUCUCACUUUAUUUAAUAUUUCUUUGAUUGAAAACUGAGAAAUGAGAUCAAUUUGAUAGCAUAAUCAAGAGCGAAUUUGAUUGCAAUUGAUAAGAAACCUUGCGGAAGGGUUCAAAACAGUAAACUUUGUUCUUAAUCUAAGCUCGACUUCAAGCUUUUCCUUGAGAAGCGAGAAGCAACUGAACAACAGUUUAGCCUCCAAGGAUAAGUGAGUAGAGCUGAUUGAAUAUUCACAACUCAAUUUAGAACACUUGUUCACAUCCCAACCUAAAGGAGUAUAUGGUACCACUCCUAUAUUCCUGAGGCAAGUUACGAGGUAUCUGUAUUAACUUAUAUAGUUGAACAGGAGUCAAAUCCACUUUUUUCCAGUGAUGUAAUCAGUAGUCGAAUUGUCAGAAAGUCCUAAAUAAAGUUAACUGAACGUGACUGUUCUUUUUAUGUCUUCAUCUUUGGAGUUAUCCGCGCAAAAUCACACAAGCUUCUGUGAGUGAUGUGUGUACCAAGGAAUGGUCAUAAUACAACAUCCUGAUAAAAGUUGACUUCUCUUUGGAGUUUGGGAGCACACAUGCACAAGAUGAAAAGAGCUGUGGAAAGGGGUUGAUUUGAGCCUAUUGCUAUGCAAACAAAUAAGAACAACAUACUCGGUGUAAUCCCACAAGUGGAGUCAAUGGGGAGGUUGUAUCCAGACCUACCCUACCUUUGUGGGAUAGAGAGGUUGUUUCUAAUAGAACAAACAAAUAAGAAAAUGUUGAAAAAUGUUAGGAUAUGAGGAGAAAUAAUAAUAAACUUAAACCAGGAAAACACACCAGAGAAGGACCGGCUUCAGUCAAAUUUCGAUGAGAAACAUCCUCUAGCAUUCGCAUAAAAUUGUCAACACCUGUACAACAGUUUUUUGUCUCAGUUGAAUAGCCUGACAGUUAAUUCCAGCCAAUGGAAAGUUUGAUUCUCUAAUCUUAUUCACCAGUAGAUUAAACAGCAAUAGCUUACCAAGAGAAAAAGUGGACACGAAAGGUCUGGAGCUCAAUUCUGUCUCCUUUACAACCGCCUCCGUGGAACAAACUUUCUCCUCCUCCUUCCAGGCACCACAAUUAUAACUCUUCUCGGACUCAUUAUCAGACUCCAAACAAAUUACUCGAUCAAUUCCUGAAGGAUGGCUUAAAUUAAAGAAGAGCCACAGGUUCGAAUAAACACACUGCAUGAGCAAAAAUAAAUGGCAAUUCAUGCAAACCUAAAGAAUAAAAUUGUUUACAACAAAAGCGCACAAGAAUGGUGCAAGAGAUCUCCUCUAAGUUAAAACAGCCCACUUGUGCAAGGAAAGGUGUGGACUAAACUCUGAAGCUAUACGGAAUCCUUUGAGGAUUGACAAUUUCUUUUCUUCAGAAAGUUGUAUGCCAAGGUGAUGCAAAGGAGCUGAGAGAUUACAGACUUGUCAGUCUGAUAGGUAGAGUAUACAAAAAAUCUCCAAGCUACUCACAGAAAGGUUGAAGACAGUAAUCUCCAAGCUACUCACAUCAGAUGGCUUUCAUCAAACGUAGGCAGAUCAUGGAUGCUGCCCUGAUCUCAUGUGAACAGGAGCUUUGUUGAACAUGCUGACGAGAAUGGGUUUUGGCAUUACUUGGAUGAAAUGGAUCCAGUUCUGUAUCAGCACAAUUAAAUUUCCAGUUCUGAUCAAUGGGCUUUUUCACUUCAAGUAUAGGAUUAAGGCAUGGUGAUCCAGUUUCACCUUUCCAUUUCCUGAUUGUCACGGAGGGUCUAAACAACAUGCUGCUCACAGCUCACAAGAACAACUGGCUCAGAGGUUUUAAAGUCAGCAACAAACAAGGGAACAAUCUGGAAAUCACCCAUCUGUUACAUGCAGAUGAUGCAAUUAUCCUUUGUGAUAUAAAGGCUGAGCAGAUGGAGAUUUUGAGAGCUAUUUUGAUUAUCUUUGAAGGGGUCUUUGGGUUACAUGUACACUGGAGGAAAAGAGCCAGUUAAUGAACCUCGAAACAUUCAGCUUUGUGUGGAUAUUUUAAGAGGAGAAAUAGGCACACUACCACAACAUAUCUUGGGAACAAAGGCACAUUGCAGGUCCAUCAAUAUUUGGAAUAGAGUGCUUGAAAAAUGUGAGGAAAAACUCACUAGAUGGAAGAGUCAGUACCUACUUUUAGGUGGCAGACUUAUUAACAGUGUUCUAGAUUGCACUCCCUACCCACAUGACGUCGCUCUUUCCCAUACCACCACAGGAUGAAAAAAAGUUGGACACACUGAGAAGCAACUUUCUAUGGCAACUGGCAAGGCAACAAAGAGAAGAAGAGUAUACAUCUUGUCAAAUAGAAAAUAUUAACACUCAGCAAGAAAGACUGGGCAUAAGAAACUUAAGAAAGCAAAACCAAAGCCUCAUAAUGAAAUGGCUCUAGAGAUAUUCAAAUGAAAAUCAGGCAAUAUAGAAGAAUGUGACUAAGGGGUCCUUUGGUAGAGUGUAUAAGAAAAAUGCAAAAUAUGGAGUAUUAGUAAUGCUUGUAUUAGCUAUGCUUGCAUUAGCUAUGCUUACGUUAGUUAUGCUUGUAUUUUUCUUAUGCAGUGUUUGGUUUGAUGUAUCAAAAAUAACAUGAAUUACAUAAUUUCAAAAAGAAAUAUAUAUAUUACAGAAAUAAAUUCCAUAUAUGUGUUGAAAAGGAUGCAGAAAAUUUUUUAAGGGAUAAUAAUGUCUUUAAUCAUGUUAAUGCAUGCAUUGAAUUCAUUGCAUUGCUAAUACCAUGGAUUUUAAGGUAUUAGUAAUACACACCUUAAUACACAAUAGUGUAUUAGUUAUACAUAGGGUGAAAAAAUAAAUCAAACAAAUAUUAGUAAUACACAUUAGACUGAUGCAUGCAUUAACUUUCCAAUACACUUUACCAAACGACCCCUAAGGAACAAAAUGGAGAUGGGGAUGCCUGGAAAACCAAAGUUGUAAGCAAUGUGCAUGGGGCUAGUGUUUGGAGGACCAUCGGAAACUUGUGGAGAAUUUUCAGCAUCAACAUCAACUAUAAGAUAGAGAAUGGACAAAGAAUCUCUUAAUGGGAAGAUAAUUGGAUAGGCAAUGGCCCUUAAAAACAAUUGUAUUCUGAAUUUUACAAACUAAACCAACAACAAAGAGCAAAAGUUAGUGAGGUAUGAAAUAAUCAAGGAUGGAACCUUACUUUUAGAAGAUAUUUGAAUGAUUCGGAGUUGGACAAAUUCAAUGCAUUUUCAACAGUCUCAAUCAAUUCAAUGAAGUGUCACUGGAUCAGGAUAGAUUAUGUCUAUGUUGCUCGGGCUCCUAAAAAAUGUCAUCGGAUUCGUGUCGGAUCCUCCAAAAAUAUUGCAUUUUUGGAGGAUCUGACAUAGGUGCGGCCACAUUUUUUAUUAGUCCAAGCAACUUAGCAUUAUGUUGGUUGGGAGACAAAGCUGGAGAUAUUUCACUAAGGUGAACACACAAUUGGAGAAAUUACAGCAACACAGAAAUACAAUGGCCCUAGAGACAGCUAUGGAAGGCAAACAUGUCAUACAAAAUUGCAUGCUUUGUAUGGCUAGUGGUAAGGAGGGGUUGUUUGACACAAGAUGGGCUGCAAAGAAGGGGAAUACACUUAUGCUUUUUAUCUACCUUCUUUGUGGAGAAUAUGCAGAACCAAAUAGUCUUUUUUUUUUUGCACUGCAAGGUGACUUCUCAGUUAUGGAACAUCUUUCUAGCAAACAUUGGAUUGAGCUGCGCAAUGCCCACCAAUAUACUGGAUCUGCUAACUAGUUGGAGCAGGAGAAGAGGAUCUAAAGCCCAAGAAAAGAUCUGGAAAAUAAUUCCAAGAUGUAGAUGGUAGACUAUCAGGAAGGAGAGGAACUCAAGAGGCUUUGAAAACAAAACCAACUCAUACAACAACAACAAACCCAGUAUAUUCCCACAAAGUAGGGUCUAAGGAGGGUAAGUGUACGCAGUCCAUACCACUACCUCAGAGGUGAGAUGGAGAGGUUGUUUCCAAUAAACCCCCGACUCAAGGCAAAAACAGUCCAGAAAGGAAAUAGUUAAGAACAAAAGCAACUCCAUCCAAACGAUAAAGCAAAUUUUAGUCAACUUUUGCAUUUUUGGUGUGUUGGAAUGUUCAUAGCAGAUGCAGGGACACAAGCAUAGUUUUGAGAGUCCCUAUAGAAUUUUUUCUUUGCCAAUCAAGCCUAGAUUUAUCUUGUAAUUAUAACCUAUAUGGUUUUCUUGGAUUAAUACAAAUGUUAACUUAUCAAAUAAAAAAAAAACAGUAUGCCAAGAAAAUAAAAGAACCAAAAUGAGAAGAAUCUGCAAGUAUGUCAAGGCUAGGUUGUCAUUUUCCUAUUUGUUUCAUCUGAACUAAAAUCUAUAAGCCAAUGUACCCAUAUUUUUAGGGUUAACAAAUACAUUAUAAGGACCAAAAUAUCCCUUCAACCAUCUCCCUUUGGCAUCAGAGAGAAACAUGUAUGAGGACUAUGCCUAACUAGCUCAAAGUUUAUGGAUGACCACGACACAAGGCACACUGAGAAUCUAUCUUUGCAGAAAAUUACUAAAUAAUCACACACAGCUCAUAAGAGCAGGAAGGGUGAUGUAACACGAAGAGCAAACCAAUCUUCCGCUCAUCUAGGUUAUAAUAAGUAUCACAAAAGUUUCCUACUUUAGUUUAACAUGAUGUAUAUCCAGGGAAAGGCAAACACACUAAAAGGGAAACUAGGAGCAUAAAGCAUCUCACAUUCACGCAGGCUUAGAAAACGGUCACAGCCCAAGAGGGUGUGAUGUAGACAGCCUACCCUGCCGAAAGUAUCUGAUUCCACGGCUAGAACCGGUAUAGGUCACACUGAGACAACUUUACCGUUGCUCCAAGUUUCUCAUUUGGAAAGGCAAACACACUGCACAAAGAAAAUCGGUUUGAUUCCAGAGGACAAAAUGUGACUGGAAUAUGGUAAACUUAGUUUCAGGCAUAUUCUAGUAGCAGACUGAAGAUAUUAUAAAUGCACUUCAUGUUCUUUGUUCAGGUAAUAGUAAAUUUAAAGAAGCAAAACCAUAUAAAAACCAUUAGAGAAGGUUCAGGAAAUGACUCAUUUACAAUUGAGAUGAAAGAUUGUGCCUCAACUCGCCGUAAUACUGCCUUGAAGGCAAAGCAACUGUAAUCGCGUACCAGAUCAACAAAAGAAAUGUUCAAGCUUCUGGAGAUGAAUGAUGAUGACAAAGCAAUUACUAUAAACUAAUAACAAUGAUCUACAAAUAAAGAAUAUGAAUUAGGAAACUGAAGUGAUUGACGUGUAAUGUUAAUUAAUGACAGAAGAAACAUAUAAUAGGUAAAUACUACUCCCUCCGUCCCAAUUAUAUGAAGGUGCUUACACCCAAGGGUGUGGCUAGUUGUCAAUGAACUGGGUUGAGAACCUACGAUCUCAGGUUCAAAUCCCAACAUAGACAAAAGAUACUCGAUGAUUCUUCUCAUCUGUCCUAGUCUUGAUGGAUAUAGUUACCUGAUAUCUGUUGCCGAUGGGAGAUAGUAGGUAUCCCGUGGAUUUAGUCGAAGUGUGUGACAGCUAAGUUGCUCGGACUCGGGUGCGGAUGUCCGAUACGGGUACGGAUCUAGAGGUUAGAUCCUUCACGGUCUCAAUUUAAAGAUUCGGUGAUAUGGAUUUAGGGAUAGAUACAGGUGCGGGGAUUCGGCAAAAAAUAAUUUAAAUAUCUGAGAAUAGAGUUACAAAACAUAAAAUAAGAGAUAAAAAAAAGGGCAGCCUGGUGCACUAAAGCUACCGCUAUUCGCGGUGUCCGAGGAAGGGCCCCACCACAAGGGUGUAUUGUACAUAGUCUUACCUUGCAUUUCUGCCAGAGAGUAUUUCCAAGGAUUGAACCCAUGACCUCCUGAUCACAUGGCAACAACUUUACCAGUUACUCCAAGGCUCCCCUUCAAAUGUUAUAUGAAAAACUUGAGAAGAAAAUAUUGUUCAAGAAGAAAAUCUUGGAAGGAGAUAAAAAGAAAAGCAAUAACAUAGAAAUUUCUAUAUAAAGGUAUUUCAUUUUCUUCAAUUUCACCUUAGCUUUUGUUUUGAUUAUAAAAUUUCUUAAAUCUGUCCGGACUUUUCUAGUCGAUUUCGGUCAAAGUACCCAAAAUCGAUUGACCAGAUCAGGUACGGAUCACACACUCACACCCUCACCCAUGUCGUGUCGACAUAAGUGCGGCACCGAAAGUGAAGAGUCCAAGUACCUUAGCGUGAAAGUUGGCCCGAACACCACGGUUAUCAAAAAAUAAUUAUAUGAAGGUGUUUGACUGGGCACGAGUUUAAAAGAAAAAGAAAAGACUUUUGAACUUGUGGUUAAAACAAGAUAGAGAAAUUUUUGUGGCUAUAAAUCAUUUCAUUAACGGUAAAAUGGGAGUUUGAAGUUGAAUCGUUAUUAGAUACAGAAAGAUGUCAUUCUUUUUUAAACUGAAAGUAAAGAUUGUCACAUAAAUUGGGACUGAGGAAGUAAGAAAAAUUAACUUCAACAACUUGCACCUUAACUCAAGAAACCAAAUAAUUGGAUUCCUGCACAUUUUAUAGGAUGCAAAGAGUCUUCACACAUUGGACUUGCACAAAGGCCUCUUCCAAAGAACUAUAUAUGAACUCUUCCCAAUUUUUCUUCCAGAUUUUUCGAUCUUUUCUCCCCAUAAUAUUGCUCAUUUUUUCUUGUCAAAAGUAAUAACAUUGCUCAUUUGCUAUAGAUAUUCUAUCGCUUGUAUUAUUUGCUAUUUUAUAGAUUUUUUUAUAGGAUCUAAGACCUCAUCCAACUUAUGAUUGGGGAGUUUUUUUUAUUAAGUAGAAGUGAAAUGUUUGGUAUCAGACAUUUGACUCUUGGACCCUUUUCACUUUUUCUAAAGCCCAAGUAAAGUUCUUCUCACUGGCAUAAUGGUAAGUAUGAUGUCUCAAAACUUGACAUUCAAUUAAAAAACUUCAAAUCAGGCCAAUUUAGAGCUUACCGCCAUCUUCGUUGUGGUUUAUAAUUGAAGAAGAGCGACUCUGCAAAUCAGCAUUAGCUUUAGUACAUCUGACUAUUGGAACACUAAAUUUUGAAAGUUCAGAUGCCGGCGUUUCAGCAACCUUGGAUGGGGUCAAAUCAAGACCUGAAGAAGAGAUAAUUUUUGUCAACACUUGUUUCCCUUUCUUCUUUUUUAUUGAAAUAGAAAGCCUACAAUUGAGCACAUAAUCCCUAACUACCGAGAAAUCCCAAGCCUUCAGCAAUCACACCAAACAACCAAAAGAAACAAUGGGAUAUAGAAGUUGGAGUGAAGGUUAAAUGAGUACAGUAUUGGCAAGAAACUCGGAAUAUUUCCAAUAUAGCCACCUAAGGGGGCGUUUGGUUGGACCAAGUUAUCCUGGGAUUAAUUAUCCCAUGCAUUUUAUCCCAACUAAACAUGGGAUACGUUCAUCCUAAAAUUAAUCCCGGGAUUAGUUAUGCCAUAUCCCUUGUACCAAACGGCCCCUCAAUGUACAAAGACCCGUUACAAUGAAAAAAGAACAGAAAUAAAUAAAAUUUCAGUGAAAAAUGUCCAGAAUGGUAGAAUUUCGGAUGAAUUUCUAAAUAUCCACCAAAAGACCCUACCAUAAGUUGUAUAAUUCAUAUUAAUUUCUAAAAUGAAACACCAUCUAUACUAAAAUGAUUAACACACUUGGACUAAAACUUAUGUAUUUCAGACUAAAAAUGGGCAGGCCCGUGCAUUAAAGCUCACAAUAUGUGCAGGUCCUGGAAAGGGCUGGACCACGGGAUCUAUUGUAUGCAUCAU